RNAcentral lists this ribosomal RNA (253 nucleotides) under uncultured bacterium. RNAcentral's name for it is "partial 16S ribosomal RNA". It matches the Rfam family "Bacterial small subunit ribosomal RNA", at positions 524 to 776 of the family's 1533-position model. The record is from RNAcentral.
GACGAAGGAUGCAAGCGUUAUCCGGAUUCAUUGGGCUUAAAGGGAGCGUAGGUGGCCUUAUAAGUCAGUGGUGAAAUCUUCGAGCUUAACUCGGAAAUUGCCAUUGAUACUGUAGGGCUUGAGUAUAGUUGCCGUUGGCGGAAUAUGACAUGUAGUGGUGAAAUACAUAGAGAUGUCAUAGAACACCGAUUGCGAAGGCAGCUGACGAAACUAGAACUGACACUGAGGCGCGAAAGUGCGGGGAGCAAACAGG